UACGAAGGGGGCUAGCGUUGUUCGGAAUUACUGGGCGUAAAGCGCACGUAGGCGGACAUUUAAGUCAGGGGUGAAAUCCCGGGGCUCAACCCCGGAACUGCCUUUGAUACUGGAUGUCUUGAGUGUGGUAGAGGUGAGUGGAAUUGCGAGUGUAGAGGUGAAAUUCGUAGAUAUUCGCAGGAACACCAGUGGCGAAGGCGGCUCACUGGACCACAACUGACGCUGAGGUGCGAAAGCGUGGGGAGCAAACAGG
This 253-nucleotide ribosomal RNA is filed under the name uncultured bacterium. Its description in RNAcentral is "partial 16S ribosomal RNA". It matches the Rfam family "Bacterial small subunit ribosomal RNA", at positions 524 to 776 of the family's 1533-position model. The record is from RNAcentral.